ACUCCUACGGGAGGCAGCAGUGGGGAAUAUUGCACAAUGGGGGAAACCCUGAUGCAGCCAUGCCGCGUGUGUGAAGAAGGCCUUCGGUUGUAAAGCACUUUCAGUAGGGUAGGAAGGUAGUGUAGUUAACACCUGCCACUAUUUGACGUUACCUACAGAAGAAGCACCGGCUAACUCCGUGCCAGCAGCCGCGGUAAUACGGAGGUGCGAGCGUUAAAUCGGAAUUACUGGGCGUAAAGCGCAUGCAGGCGGCCUGUUAAGUCAGAUGUGAAAGCCCGGGGCUUAACCUCGGAAUUGCAUUUGAAACUGGCAGGCUAGAGUCUUGUAGAAGGGGUUAGAAUUUCAGGUGUAAGCGGUGAAAUGCGUAGAGAUCUGAAGGAAUA
Molecule: ribosomal RNA, 383 nt
Filed under: uncultured bacterium
Lineage: Bacteria
Description: bacterial SSU rRNA
Rfam family: Bacterial small subunit ribosomal RNA
Source: RNAcentral